Molecule: ribosomal RNA, 467 nt
Filed under: uncultured bacterium
Lineage: Bacteria
Description: bacterial SSU rRNA
Rfam family: Bacterial small subunit ribosomal RNA
Source: RNAcentral
GAAGGCCUUCGGGUUGUAAAGCACUUUAAGUGGGGAGGAAAAGACGCUGCGUGAAUAUCGUAGUGCCGUGACGUUACCCACAGAAUAAGCACCGGCAAACUCCGUGCCAGCAGCCGCGGUAAUACGGAGGGUGCGAGCGUUAAUCGGAAUUACUGGGCGUAAAGCGCACGUAGGCGGUUCUGUAAGUGGGAUGUGAAACCCCCGGGCUUAACCUGGGACUUGCAUACCAGACUGCAAAGCUAGAGUAUGAGAGAGGGUGGUGGAAUUUCCGGUGUAGCGGUGAAAUGCGUAGAGAUCGGAAGGAACAUCAGUGGCGAAGGCGGCCACCUGGCUUAAUACUGACGCUGAGGUGCGAAAGCGUGGGGAUCAAACAGGAUUAGAUACCCUGGUAGUCCACGCCGUAAAACGAUGAGAACUAGCCGUUGGAUUCCUUAGAGGAUUUAGUGGCGCAGCUAACGCGAUAAGUU